This 316-nucleotide long non-coding RNA is filed under the name Capsella grandiflora. Its description in RNAcentral is "long non-coding RNA (CGRA_LNC000244)". The record is from RNAcentral. Lineage: Eukaryota; Viridiplantae; Streptophyta; Magnoliopsida; Brassicales; Brassicaceae.
CAUCAACGCUCCAACCUCACCGCCUCUCCUUCUGGGGACGAAAGCAGCAACUCUCCUACUUCUCCUCCGAGCAGCAGCGGCGGUGGCAAAGGCAAUAAGUGUGGAGCUGGAGGGAAAGGACAAGGCAAGAAGUGAAGACAACAAGAAGCACUCGAAGAAGAAGCACUCGAUGAACUGAUUUGAUAUGUUAGUUUUAAUGUUUUAGGUUUAUCUUAACUCUAUCGUAAUCUCCGAUAUUUCCUCUACCCUUUAGUUUAAUAUUUUUAGGUUAAUAUUUAUGUCGUAUUUUGGUAUCCGAUGGUUUGUUUUAAAUGGC